RNAcentral lists this small RNA (27 nucleotides) under Bombyx mori (domestic silkworm). RNAcentral's name for it is "piRNA piR-bmo-2127128". The record is from RNAcentral. Lineage: Eukaryota; Metazoa; Arthropoda; Insecta; Lepidoptera; Bombycidae.
UAAAGAAAAAAUAGGAAUGCGAUAGGU